AAGCAUCCUGUUAAGUCAGGCAACGAGCGAGACCCACGCCAACAGUUGCCAGCAUGUCCUCCGGGGAUGAUGGGGACACUGUUGGGACCGCCUCUGCUAAAGAGGAGGGAGGAAUGGGCAACGGUAGGUCAGCAUGCCCCCGAAUUAUCCGGGCUACACGCGGGCUACAAUGGUCAGGACAAUGGGUAUCGACACCGAGAGGUGGAGGCAAUCUCCUAAACCUGUCCUUAGUUCGGAUUGUGGGCUGCAACUCGCCCACAUGAAGCUGGAAUCCGUAGUAAUCGCGUUUCAAGAUAGCGCGGUGAAUAUGUCCCUGCUCCUU
Molecule: ribosomal RNA, 322 nt
Filed under: uncultured Methanolinea sp.
Lineage: Archaea; Methanobacteriati; Methanobacteriota; Methanomicrobia; Methanomicrobiales; Methanoregulaceae
Description: bacterial SSU rRNA
Rfam family: Archaeal small subunit ribosomal RNA
Source: RNAcentral